RNAcentral lists this long non-coding RNA (363 nucleotides) under Struthio camelus australis. RNAcentral describes it as "lncRNA (ENSSCUG00000012399.1)". The record is from RNAcentral. Lineage: Eukaryota; Metazoa; Chordata; Aves; Struthioniformes; Struthionidae.
UGACUUAGUUGAACGCACCUUCUUUUUGAAUCCCUUUGGUGACGAUAGUCCUGUAUUUUCUCCCCCACAGAGGACAGACAGCUUCUCCCGCAGUUGCCUGGGGAGGACUCCUAGAGGAGUGGUUUCCGAAUGUUUGGAGCAGUAAACUGCCAGUAGCCUUCAAAUUUUCUGUGGACCACAGACUUAUGCAUAACAGUGUGACUAGUCAUCUGUGCCAACAGGCACCUGAAGGAACUACAUGAAGGGGAGGCAUCAUCUUCUGCAGGCUGCUUGUGACACCGUGGGAAUCCUACCCAUGCACCUGCCUGUGUUGUGGUUCUCACAUGUAUUUGCCAUGACCAAAAAUACAAAGAACGUAAUAGG